UGCCAGCCGCCGCGGUAACACGUAAAAAGCAAGCGCUGUCCGGAAUCACUGGACGCAAAGGGAGCGUAGGUGACGAGAUAAGUCAGAUGUGAAAGUUUGCGGCUCAACCGUAAAAUUGCAUUUGAUACUGUUUUGCUAGAGUAUCGGAGAGGAAAGCGGAAUUCCUGAUGUAGCGGUGAAAUGCGCAGAGAUCAGGAAGAACACCAAUGACGAAAACAGCUUUCUGGACGAUACCUGACACUGAGGCUCGAAAGCGUGAAGAACGAACAGGAUUAGAUA
RNAcentral lists this ribosomal RNA (279 nucleotides) under uncultured bacterium. RNAcentral's name for it is "partial 16S ribosomal RNA". It matches the Rfam family "Bacterial small subunit ribosomal RNA", at positions 506 to 784 of the family's 1533-position model. The record is from RNAcentral.